UUUAUCCUACGGGGGGCAGCAGUAGGGAAUCUUCCACAAUGGACGAAAGUCUGAUGGAGCAACGCCGCGUGAGUGAAGAAGGGUUUCGGCUCGUAAAGCUCUGUUUGUAGUGAAGAAAGAUAGAGGUAGUAACUGGCCUUUAUUUUACGGUAAUUACUUAGAAAGUCACGGCUAACUACGUGCCAGCAGCCGCGGUAAUACGUAGGUGGCAAGCGUUGUCCGGGUUUAUUUG
Molecule: ribosomal RNA, 232 nt
Filed under: uncultured bacterium
Lineage: Bacteria
Description: partial 16S ribosomal RNA
Rfam family: Bacterial small subunit ribosomal RNA
Source: RNAcentral